UACGUGAGGUGCAAGCGUUAAUCGGAAUUACUGGGCGUAAAGCGUGCGCAGGCGGUGAUGUAAGACAGUUGUGAAAUCCCCGGGCUCAACCUGGGAACUGCAUCUGUGACUGCAUCGCUGGAGUGCGGCAGAGGGGGAUGGAAUUCCGCGUGUAGCAGUGAAAUGCGUAGAUAUGCGGAGGAACACCGAUGGCGAAGGCAAUCCCCUGGGCCUGCACUGACGCUCAUGCACGAAAGCGUGGGGAGCAAACAGG
Molecule: ribosomal RNA, 253 nt
Filed under: uncultured bacterium
Lineage: Bacteria
Description: partial 16S ribosomal RNA
Rfam family: Bacterial small subunit ribosomal RNA
Source: RNAcentral